UUCCUACGGGGGGCAGCAGUGGGGAAUAUUGCACAAUGGGGGAAACCCUGAUGCAGCGACGCCGCGUGAGUGAAGAAGUAUUUCGGUACGUAAAGCUCUAUCAGCAGGGAAGAAAAAAAGUCCUUUGGACUUUGGACGGUACCUGACUAAGAAGCCCCGGCUAACUACGUGCCAGCAGCCGCGGUAAUACGUAAGGGGCAAGCGUUAUCCGGAUUUACUGGGUGUAAAGGGAGCGUAGACGGCAGCGCAAGUCUGGAGUGAAAUGCCGGGGCCCAACCCCGGAACUGCUUUGGAAACUGCGCAGC
Molecule: ribosomal RNA, 305 nt
Filed under: uncultured bacterium
Lineage: Bacteria
Description: bacterial SSU rRNA
Rfam family: Bacterial small subunit ribosomal RNA
Source: RNAcentral